CUCUGUAUAACUAUUCUCCUAUCACACUUCCACCUUUCCAGAUAUUCUCCUGGUGAUCUAAGGUUCCACAAAACUUCUUUAUCCCCUAUAUCCCCAUUGGCUCCAUGACUGUAUCUCUUUAUAUAACCUUUCCACAACAGCCAUAGCAAACAUUUCAUAAGACAGUUUGACAAUUGGUGGCAUUGAAGUGAUACUGCACAUUUACAUUUUUAC
This is a non-coding RNA of Pelobates cultripes (western spadefoot toad), 213 nucleotides long. NCBI's taxonomy places the organism in Eukaryota, Metazoa, Chordata, Amphibia, Anura, Pelobatidae. The record is from the annotation of a GenBank genome assembly.